GACGAACGCUGGCGGCGUGCUUAACACAUGCAAGUCGAACGGAAAGGCCCUGCUUGCAGGGUGCUCGAGUGGCGAACGGGUGAGUAACACGCGGGUGAUCUGCACCUUACUUUGGGAUAAGCCUGGGAAACUGGGUCUAAUACUGGGUAGGACCAUGCUGUAGGUGGUGUGGUGGCAAGUUGAGUUUCGUUAGGGGAUGAGCGCGCGGCCUCUCAGCUUGUUGGCGGGGUAUUGGCCUACCAGGGCGUCGACGGGUAGCCGGCCUGAGAGGGUGGGCGGCAGCAUUGGGACUGUGAGACGGCGCAGCGGCCUACGGGAGGAAGCAAUGGGGAAGAGUGGAAAAUGGGAGAAAGGCGGAAGCCGCGACGGCGCCUGGGGGAUGAAGGCCUUCGGGUUGUAAAGUCCUUACGGCCAUGAAGAAGCGAAGAUGAUGACGGUAGUGGUAGAAGAAGCCCCGGCUAACUACGUG
RNAcentral lists this ribosomal RNA (469 nucleotides) under uncultured bacterium. RNAcentral's name for it is "partial 16S ribosomal RNA". It matches the Rfam family "Bacterial small subunit ribosomal RNA", at positions 28 to 507 of the family's 1533-position model. The record is from RNAcentral.